CCUACGGGAGGCAGCAGUGAGGAAUAUUGGACAAUGGGUGAGAGCCUGAUCCAGCCAUCCCGCGUGAAGGAUGACGGUCCUAUGGAUUGUAAACUUCUUUUGUACAGGGAUAAACCUACUCUCGUGAGGGUAGCUGAAGGUACUGUACGAAUAAGCACCGGCUAACUCCGUGCCAGCAGCCGCGGUAAUACGGAGGGUGCAAGCGUUAUCCGGAUUUAUUGGGUUUAAAGGGUCCGUAGGCGGACCCGUAAGUCAGUGGUGAAAUCUCAUAGCUUAACUAUGAAACUGCCAUUGAUACUGCGGGUCUUGAGUAAAUUUGAAGUGGCUGGAAUAAGUAGUGUAGCGGUGAAAUGCAUAGAUAUUACUUAGAACACCAAUUGCGAAGGCAGGUCACUAAGAUUUAACUGACGCUGAUGGACGAAGGCGUGGGUAGCGAACAGGAUUAGAUACCCUGGUAGUCCACGCCGUAAACGAUGCUAACUCGUUUUGGAUUUUCGGAUUUCAGAGACCAAGCGAAAAGUGAUAAGUUAGCCACCUGGGAGGUACGUCCGCGAGGAGUAGAACGACGAAAGGAAAGUUAGACGGCGUGAGACGUGCCGACGGACGACGACGAGGGAGGAGG
Molecule: ribosomal RNA, 622 nt
Filed under: uncultured bacterium
Lineage: Bacteria
Description: bacterial SSU rRNA
Rfam family: Bacterial small subunit ribosomal RNA
Source: RNAcentral